This 219-nucleotide long non-coding RNA is filed under the name Gossypium barbadense (sea-island cotton). Its description in RNAcentral is "long non-coding RNA (GBAR_LNC002564)". The record is from RNAcentral. Lineage: Eukaryota; Viridiplantae; Streptophyta; Magnoliopsida; Malvales; Malvaceae.
AGAUAACAAAGAAUGUGGUUGUUGUUCUUGUUAAUUUGGAUGAAUUUUUGGUGGAUAGGUGCUUGAAUCAAACAAAUGAUCAUGUGUGUACACUAGGUGCUAGUUGAGAAGAAUCGGUCAUUAUAUUGGAGGCCAUUGCCGAAUAUGAGUUUAGUUAUUGAGAGUGAGGAAUGUGUUUUGAGUUGAUGGAAUAAAAGAAUGCUUAAAGAUGUGUCACAA